GGACAUUCCUUUGGGAUUAGAGGGAAUCAACUUAGGGCAUGGUGAGGAGCGAAAACGCAUAACACUUUAGGCUUCUUCCUUGUUCUUCACCAUUUUCUCUCCUUUCACUCUUGUAUUUCUUUAUUUUGUAAGGUCUUUCAUGACAAUGAAAAGCUAAAUCGCCCAUUGCUGAGAAGCUUGGUGCACUAAACACUCCAAGUGACUUAGGCUUUUUUACUAGAGGAAUCUUGAU
RNAcentral lists this long non-coding RNA (232 nucleotides) under Glycine max (soybean). Its description in RNAcentral is "long non-coding RNA (GMAX_LNC003572)". Lineage: Eukaryota; Viridiplantae; Streptophyta; Magnoliopsida; Fabales; Fabaceae. The record is from RNAcentral.